AAAAUAUAAAACGUGUUCACUUAUAAUGUAAAAUAUAUUACUCCUCGCGACUGUUUUUAUAAGAAACAAAUUCUAGUUUUGUUGGAACCAAAAUUAUUAGCCGAUUACGAGACAGGAUUAGCCAUGACACAACGACUAUUUUAUCUGACAAAAGGAAAGCAAUUGAGCAAGAUUCAUGUAACAACUUAAUGGAUAGGUCAUUGAAAACAUGUAAAUCAUGAUCUCCUCAAUUUUCGGAUAGUGGUUAGGUACUGAAUCUGAUAUGUGAUCAUCUUUAUUAUCCCUAUAAAUAGGAUUUUUCACGAUGUAAACAAUCCACAACCUUCAUAAAUCAAAUUAUCAUUUUCUUGCUCGGUUUUACAAUUCUCUUCACUGUUCUUAUUACGUUUAAAUCACAUUUCUAUACUUUUAAGCGCUUUACUUUAGUCGUUUACAACAUUCAUUUACCGCUAAAUUCACUUAGGAGUAGCUUAACAUGGAAAUCUCAUGCAAAGUCCUUCCUUGAGACAAUCGUUACAAGGGAAUCAACCGGUGUUAAUCAAUGCUACGACAAAUCAGAUUUUGCUACAAGGGAAUGUCCAUAGCUUUUGUGGGCACAUUACCAA
Molecule: long non-coding RNA, 605 nt
Filed under: Glycine max (soybean)
Lineage: Eukaryota; Viridiplantae; Streptophyta; Magnoliopsida; Fabales; Fabaceae
Description: long non-coding RNA (GMAX_LNC001713)
Source: RNAcentral